This 379-nucleotide ribosomal RNA is filed under the name Chlorosoma viridissimum (common green racer). Its description in RNAcentral is "Chlorosoma viridissima (Common green racer) partial 16S ribosomal RNA". It matches the Rfam family "Bacterial large subunit ribosomal RNA", at positions 1970 to 2557 of the family's 2925-position model. The record is from RNAcentral. Lineage: Eukaryota; Metazoa; Chordata; Lepidosauria; Squamata; Dipsadidae.
UGUCUAUUAAUUGUAGACCUGUAUGAAAGGCAAAAUGAGGGUUUAACUGUCUCUUAUAGUAAAUCAAUUAAACUGAUCUUCUAGUCAAAAAGCUAGGAUAACCACAUAAGACCAGAAGACCCUGUGAAGCUUAAACUAAACUGUUAAACCAUAUAAUAAUUACUUUCGGUUGGGGCGACCUUGGAAAAAAAAAGAACUUCCAAACACAGUGACCAUAAACCACCACAUACGGCCUACAAGCCUACAAACUUUUUAGACCCAGCAAUGCUGAUAAAUGAACCAAGUUACUCCAGGGAUAACAGCGCCAUCUUCUUUAAGAGCCCAUAUCAAAAAGAAGGCUUACGACCUCGAUGUUGGAUCAGGACAUCCUAAUGGUGCA